UGAUUCCACUUCUAGAAUACUGAGAUGCCACGUCUGUACCACAUGGUCUAGUGAAAGAAGGAAGCUGCCAAACUCUUGGCCAAACUCUUCUGCAAUUAUCUUGUGAAACAGAUAAUGGAGCACGGGCUUCAGAACUCAUCCAUAUCAGUCUAUACAGAGUUGAAAUGUGUAUCAAUUCUCAGUAAUAAGUGGCUUUCCCCAAAGGAGUUAAUAAUAGAGUGGAUGGCACCCUGAUGCUUGUUUUCAGAGGUUUUUCAAGCAUCAGGGAGGCUUCAGGUGGUAUUUCUACAGCAAAGAACUACAGGACAACUGAGUUUGUAACCAAGCCAUUACAUCUACUAAUUAAAGAAUAGAAAGAAGUUUUCUGGAUGUGGAUUGCUUUGAUUACAGACUAUCAAGUAUAAUAGCAUUUCUUUGGGUGACUAUGAUGGGACAGUGCUGAAGAUUAAAUUUGUUGAAACUCCUUAGGAACCUGCAACAAUUAGAGUAGAAUAAACACUGCUUGAUGGUGAUGGCCUUUGAAUCUCAGAAGUUAUUUCUGAAAGGAAAUACAGAGAAUUCCACAUGCCUUGUUUUGUUGUUUAACCCACUAGGAACAUAUAGAGCAUGGGUGAUUGGCAUUUGAGGCGUGAAAACCUGGAACUGACACAUAAGCCCUCUAACAGCUUUGGAAAUAAUACAGUAAAAAAUGACUUUGUACAAUGACAAUGAAGAAAAUUUACAUAAAUACAUAAAUGUGCUAAUGGAAUAAAAUAAUAUACUAUGCUCUCAUAA
Long non-coding RNA from Peromyscus eremicus (cactus mouse), 774 nucleotides. RefSeq lists it as uncharacterized. The transcript has 3 exons. The record is from RefSeq and is a predicted model, not a curated record. Lineage: Eukaryota; Metazoa; Chordata; Mammalia; Rodentia; Cricetidae.